AGAACGAACGCUGGCGGCAGGCUUAACACAUGCAAGUCGAACGCUCCGCAAGGGGAGUGGCAGACGGGUGAGUAACGCGUGGGAACGUACCCCUCGGUUCGGAAUAACUCAGGGAAACUUGAGCUAAUACCGGAUACGGCCGAGAGGCGAAAGAUUUAUCGCCGAGGGAUCGGCCCGCGUCCGAUUAGCUAGUUGGUGAGGUAACGGCUCACCAAGGCGACGAUCGGUAGCUGGUCUGAGAGGAUGAUCAGCCACAUUGGGACUGAGACACGGCCCAAACUCCUACGGGAGGCAGCAGUGGGGAAUAUUGGACAAUGGGCGAAAGCCUGAUCCAGCCAUGCCGCGUGAGUGAUGAAGGCCUUAGGGUUGUAAAGCUCUUUCGUCAGGGACGAUAAUGACGGUACCUGAAGAAGAAGCCCCGGCUAACUUCGUGCCAGCAGCCG
This 443-nucleotide ribosomal RNA is filed under the name uncultured bacterium. Its description in RNAcentral is "SSU rRNA". It matches the Rfam family "Bacterial small subunit ribosomal RNA", at positions 26 to 517 of the family's 1533-position model. The record is from RNAcentral.